CCUACGGGAGGCAGCAGUGGGGAAUAUUGCACAAUGGGCGAAAGCCUGAUGCAGCAACGCCGCGUGAAGGAAGAAGGUCUUCGGAUCGUAAACUUCUGUCCUUGGGGAAGAUAAUGCCGGUACCCUUGGAGUAAGCCCCGGCUAACUACUUACCAGCAGCCGCGGUAAUACGAAGGGGGCAAGCGUUAUCCGGAAUUAUUGGGCGAAAAGAGUGCGUAGGUGGUUACUUAAGCCCGGGGGUUAAGGCAAUGGUUAAACCAUUGUGCGCCGUGCGAACUGGGUUACUUGAGUGCAGGAGAGGAAAGCGGAAGUCCUAGUGUAGCGGUGAAAUGCGUAGAUAUUAGGAGGAACACCAGUGGCGAAGGCGGCUUUCUGGACUGUUACUGACACUGAGGCACGAAAGUGUGGGGAGCAAACAGGAUUAGAUACCCGGGUAGUC
RNAcentral lists this ribosomal RNA (439 nucleotides) under uncultured bacterium. RNAcentral's name for it is "partial 16S ribosomal RNA". It matches the Rfam family "Bacterial small subunit ribosomal RNA", at positions 338 to 795 of the family's 1533-position model. The record is from RNAcentral.